GGUUAAGCGACUAAGCGUACACGGUGGAUGCCCUGGCAGUCAGAGGCGAUGAAGGACGUGCUAAUCUGCGAUAAGCGUCGGUAAGGUGAUAUGAACCGUUAUAACCGGCGAUUUCCGAAUGGGGAAACCCAGUGUGUUUCGACACACUAUCAUUAACUGAAUCCAUAGGUUAAUGAGGCGAACCGGGGGAACUGAAACAUCUAAGUACCCCGAGGAAAAGAAAUCAACCGAGAUUCCCCCAGUAGCGGCGAGCGAACGGGGAGCAGCCCAGAGCCUGAAUCAGUGUGUGUGUUAGUGGAAGCGUCUGGAAAGGCGCGCGAUACAGGGUGACAGCCCCGUACACAAAAAUGCACAUGCUGUGAGCUCGAUGAGUAGGGCGGGACACGUGGUAUCCUGUCUGAAUAUGGGGGGACCAUCCUCCAAGGCUAAAUACUCCUGACUGACCGAUAGUGAACCAGUACCGUGAGGGAAAGGCGAAAAGAACCCCGGCGAGGGGAGUGAAAAAGAACCUGAAACCGUGUACGUACAAGCAGUGGGAGCACGCUUAGGCGUGUGACUGCGUACCUUUUGUAUAAUGGGUCAGCGACUUAUAUUCUGUAGCAAGGUUAACCGAAUAGGGGAGCCGAAGGGAAACCGAGUCUUAACUGGGCGUUAAGUUGCAGGGUAUAGACCCGAAACCCGGUGAUCUAGCCAUGGGCAGGUUGAAGGUUGGGUAACACUAACUGGAGGACCGAACCGACUAAUGUUGAAAAAUUAGCGGAUGACUUGUGGCUGGGGGUGAAAGGCCAAUCAAACCGGGAGAUAGCUGGUUCUCCCCGAAAGCUAUUUAGGUAGCGCCUCGUGAAUUCAUCUCCGGGGGUAGAGCACUGUUUCGGCAAGGGGGUCAUCCCGACUUACCAACCCGAUGCAAACUGCGAAUACCGGAGAAUGUUAUCACGGGAGACACACGGCGGGUGCUAACGUCCGUCGUGAAGAGGGAAACAACCCAGACCGCCAGCUAAGGUCCCAAAGUCAUGGUUAAGUGGGAAACGAUGUGGGAAGGCCCAGACAGCCAGGAUGUUGGCUUAGAAGCAGCCAUCAUUUAAAGAAAGCGUAAUAGCUCACUGGUCGAGUCGGCCUGCGCGGAAGAUGUAACGGGGCUAAACCAUGCACCGAAGCUGCGGCAGCGACGCUUAUGCGUUGUUGGGUAGGGGAGCGUUCUGUAAGCCUGCGAAGGUGUGCUGUGAGGCAUGCUGGAGGUAUCAGAAGUGCGAAUGCUGACAUAAGUAACGAUAAAGCGGGUGAAAAGCCCGCUCGCCGGAAGACCAAGGGUUCCUGUCCAACGUUAAUCGGGGCAGGGUGAGUCGACCCCUAAGGCGAGGCCGAAAGGCGUAGUCGAUGGGAAACAGGUUAAUAUUCCUGUACUUGGUGUUACUGCGAAGGGGGGACGGAGAAGGCUAUGUUGGCCGGGCGACGGUUGUCCCGGUUUAAGCGUGUAGGCUGGUUUUCCAGGCAAAUCCGGAAAAUCAAGGCUGAGGCGUGAUGACGAGGCACUACGGUGCUGAAGCAACAAAUGCCCUGCUUCCAGGAAAAGCCUCUAAGCAUCAGGUAACAUCAAAUCGUACCCCAAACCGACACAGGUGGUCAGGUAGAGAAUACCAAGGCGCUUGAGAGAACUCGGGUGAAGGAACUAGGCAAAAUGGUGCCGUAACUUCGGGAGAAGGCACGCUGAUAUGUAGGUGAGGUCCCUCGCGGAUGGAGCUGAAAUCAGUCGAAGAUACCAGCUGGCUGCAACUGUUUAUUAAAAACACAGCACUGUGCAAACACGAAAGUGGACGUAUACGGUGUGACGCCUGCCCGGUGCCGGAAGGUUAAUUGAUGGGGUUAGCGCAAGCGAAGCUCUUGAUCGAAGCCCCGGUAAACGGCGGCCGUAACUAUAACGGUCCUAAGGUAGCGAAAUUCCUUGUCGGGUAAGUUCCGACCUGCACGAAUGGCGUAAUGAUGGCCAGGCUGUCUCCACCCGAGACUCAGUGAAAUUGAACUCGCUGUGAAGAUGCAGUGUACCCGCGGCAAGACGGAAAGACCCCGUGAACCUUUACUAUAGCUUGACACUGAACAUUGAGCCUUGAUGUGUAGGAUAGGUGGGAGGCUUUGAAGUGUGGACGCCAGUCUGCAUGGAGCCGACCUUGAAAUACCACCCUUUAAUGUUUGAUGUUCUAACGUUGACCCGUAAUCCGGGUUGCGGACAGUGUCUGGUGGGUAGUUUGACUGGGGCGGUCUCCUCCUAAAGAGUAACGGAGGAGCACGAAGGUUGGCUAAUCCUGGUCGGACAUCAGGAGGUUAGUGCAAUGGCAUAAGCCAGCUUGACUGCGAGCGUGACGGCGCGAGCAGGUGCGAAAGCAGGUCAUAGUGAUCCGGUGGUUCUGAAUGGAAGGGCCAUCGCUCAACGGAUAAAAGGUACUCCGGGGAUAACAGGCUGAUACCGCCCAAGAGUUCAUAUCGACGGCGGUGUUUGGCACCUCGAUGUCGGCUCAUCACAUCCUGGGGCUGAAGUAGGUCCCAAGGGUAUGGCUGUUCGCCAUUUAAAGUGGUACGCGAGCUGGGUUUAGAACGUCGUGAGACAGUUCGGUCCCUAUCUGCCGUGGGCGCUGGAGAACUGAGGGGGGCUGCUCCUAGUACGAGAGGACCGGAGUGGACGCAUCACUGGUGUUCGGGUUGUCAUGCCAAUGGCACUGCCCGGUAGCUAAAUGCGGAAGAGAUAAGUGCUGAAAGCAUCUAAGCACGAAACUUGCCCCGAGAUGAGUUCUCCCUGACCCUUUAAGGGUCCUGAAGGAACGUUGAAGACGACGACGUUGAUAGGCCGGGUGUGUAAGCGCAGCGAUGCGUUGAGCUAACCGGUACUAAUGAACCGUGAGGCUUAACCUU
This is a non-coding RNA of Escherichia coli str. K-12 substr. MG1655, 2904 nucleotides long. The record is from Rfam. Lineage: Bacteria; Pseudomonadati; Pseudomonadota; Gammaproteobacteria; Enterobacterales; Enterobacteriaceae.